CCCGAAAAGUUAGUCUCAAUACAACAAUUUACAUCCAGCAAUUUAUAAGUGAAAUUUAAACACAGCUGUUCCUCAUAACCGUGCUCUCAAAAUUGAAAAUACAUAGACUAGAACUAGAUGAGAUCCUUUAGAUGGCUCCUUCAAGACUAAUAUAUCACAAAAAAUAUAAAUAAGAACCUUUAUUUUAUUCUGAGAUGUGAUCUCCUAUGUAUAGAACCAACUAUUGAUAUCUAUAAUGAGAUAUAAUUAUGCGGUUUCCACCCCAAAAAAUUUACUAGUCAUUGGCACAAGAUAUUCUUCCCCAAGUUAAGAUAAAUAGCGUACAUUUACA
This 331-nucleotide long non-coding RNA is filed under the name Phoenix dactylifera (date palm). Its description in RNAcentral is "long non-coding RNA (PDAC_LNC013830)". Lineage: Eukaryota; Viridiplantae; Streptophyta; Magnoliopsida; Arecales; Arecaceae. The record is from RNAcentral.